CUUCUCUUUCUGCCACCACCUUGUCCUUCUCUCUCUCAAUACAUCUCAGGUGCAACAGUUUGGCCUGGUAUGGUCUUUCAGAAACUACUCGAAGAUCACAAUAAUUAGCAUAUGAUUUCUUUGGUUUCAUUUCCAAACACAAGCUCUAUGCAAAGCAACAACUGAUGAGAACACUGAUAACAGCUGUAUCUCCAUGGAAUCAACGUGAAUAAACUUCUAAUAUGAGGAGAUCAUCAGAUAUUUGCUGUUCACAUGAUAUGUGCCCUACAAAGGCAGCCAUAAAGCAAAGAGACUUCCCGCUACCUGGAAAGCUGAUCAUCUGAAAGCAGAAGAUCCAGACUUCGAAGUAGGAGCAAAGUCAACAGGUCCACUUACUGUGAUGUCAUUGAAGUCCUUCCGGACGAACACCCUUACCCAAGCAAUUGAUUAUUGCCCUGCUUGCAACCACGCUUCGAAACGAAUGGAUGUGUGCUGUGGAGCAUAGCUGAGUUAGAGCAGGGGAAGAUGCUCAUUGAAGAUACUGUGCUGUCAUUGCAGUCCACUGCUUCAGUAAUACACUGGCCAAUUCAGAGCUGGC
Long non-coding RNA from Mastomys coucha (southern multimammate mouse), 577 nucleotides. RefSeq lists it as uncharacterized. The record is from RefSeq and is a predicted model, not a curated record. The transcript has 4 exons. Lineage: Eukaryota; Metazoa; Chordata; Mammalia; Rodentia; Muridae.